UCCCCCACGGGGCGCAGCAGUAGGGAAUCUUCCACAACGGGCGAAAGCCUGAUGGAGCAACGCCGCGUGGGUGAAGAAGGUCUUCGGAUCGUAAAACCCUGUUGUUAGAGAAGAAAGUGCGUGAGAGUAACUGUUCACGUUUCGACGGUAUCUAACCAGAAAGCCACGGCUAACUACGUGCCAGCAGCCGCGGGAAUACGUAGGUGGCAAGCGUUAUCCGGAUUUAUUGGGCGUAUAGGGAAC
This 243-nucleotide ribosomal RNA is filed under the name uncultured bacterium. RNAcentral's name for it is "partial 16S ribosomal RNA". It matches the Rfam family "Bacterial small subunit ribosomal RNA", at positions 335 to 570 of the family's 1533-position model. The record is from RNAcentral.